GUGCUCGCUUCGGCAGCACAUAUACUAAAAUUGGAAC
This 37-nucleotide small nuclear RNA is filed under the name Cervus elaphus hippelaphus. Lineage: Eukaryota; Metazoa; Chordata; Mammalia; Artiodactyla; Cervidae. The record is from RNAcentral.